Molecule: small nuclear RNA, 167 nt
Filed under: Mus pahari (shrew mouse)
Lineage: Eukaryota; Metazoa; Chordata; Mammalia; Rodentia; Muridae
Description: predicted gene, 25938 (MGP_PahariEiJ_G0033754.1)
Rfam family: U1 spliceosomal RNA
About the family: U1 is a small nuclear RNA (snRNA) component of the spliceosome (involved in pre-mRNA splicing). Its 5' end forms complementary base pairs with the 5' splice junction, thus defining the 5' donor site of an intron.
Source: RNAcentral
CUAAUUAGCUAGGAGGGAAGCCAUCAUGACCAUGAGUAAGGUGCCCUACCCAGGGUGAGGCUUAUCCACUGCACUCUGGGUAUGCAUACGCCCUGGUAUUUCCCUAAAAGUGGGAAACUAUACUGUAUAAUUCUGUUAAUGGAGAAAUGAAUUCCCACUUUCUCCUU